RNAcentral lists this ribosomal RNA (368 nucleotides) under Salmonella enterica subsp. enterica serovar Reading. RNAcentral describes it as "partial 23S ribosomal RNA". It matches the Rfam family "Bacterial large subunit ribosomal RNA", at positions 454 to 722 of the family's 2925-position model. The record is from RNAcentral. Lineage: Bacteria; Pseudomonadati; Pseudomonadota; Gammaproteobacteria; Enterobacterales; Enterobacteriaceae.
CAUCCUCCAAGGCUAAAUACUCCUGACUGACCGAUAGUGAACCAGUACCGUGAGGGAAAGGCGAAAAGAACCCCGGCGAGGGGAGUGAAAAAGAACCUGAAACCGUGUACGUACAAGCAGUGGGAGCCCCACCACCAAAGCAUUCUAUGGUGUUGAAGGCCCUGCAAAGCAGCAUCGCGGUGGCGGAGCGUCGUUUGCGACGCCCAACACACAAAACAAGCGGUGAGUGCUUUGGGGUGGGGUGACUGCGUACCUUUUGUAUAAUGGGUCAGCGACUUAUAUUCUGUAGCAAGGUUAACCGAAUAGGGGAGCCGGAGGGAAACCGAGUCUUAAUUGGGCGUUAAGUUGCAGGGUAUAGACCCGAAACC